Molecule: ribosomal RNA, 469 nt
Filed under: uncultured bacterium
Lineage: Bacteria
Description: partial 16S ribosomal RNA
Rfam family: Bacterial small subunit ribosomal RNA
Source: RNAcentral
GACGAACGCUGGCGGCGUGCUUAACACAUGCAAGUCGAACGGAAAGGCCCUGCUUGCAGGGUGCUCGAGUGGCGAACGGGUGAGUAACACGUGGGUGAUCUGCCCCUUACUUUGGGAUAAGCCUGGGAAACUGGGUCUAAUACCGGAUAGGACCAUGCUGUAGGUGGUGUGGUGGAAAGAUUAGUUUCGGUAAGGGAUGAGCUCGCGGCCUAUCAGCUUGUUGGUGGGGUAAUGGCCUACCAAGGCGUCGACGGGUAGCCGGCCUGAGAGGGUGGACGGCCACAUUGGGACUGAGAUACGGCCCAGACUCCUACGGGAGGCAGCAGUGGGGAAUAUUGCACAAUGGGCGCAAGCCUGAUGCAGCGACGCCGCGUGGGGGAUGACGGCCUUCGGGUUGUAAACUCCUUUCAGCCAUGACGAAGCCCUUGUGGUGACGGUAGUGGUAGAAGAAGCACCGGCUAACUACGUG